AGGCAUAUGUGCUGUAGUUUAAUGCGCUUCUCACUUGUUCUUCCUCCCACCCACUCUUCAAUUUCUCUUCUCCUUUUGCUCUUCCUUUCUUGCUUCCUCUGUCCUCCUGCUUCUAACUCUACUCACUUCUCUUUCAAGCUCCCUGUUUUCUCUCUCCUCCCUUCUCAUGCUCUCAUGGUCACCUUCCUUUCAGAAUCCAAAUUCUCUGUGUCUGUUCCUGCUACCAUGGCCCUUGUUGCUCCUCCAUCUGCUCACAGGGACCAUGGCCAACCGGCAAUUUUAGAUGCUGGCUCUUAAGUUUCUAAAGAAAAUGAUUCAAUUCAACUCUUGGGUCUAGUCUUUCUACCAAGUUCCUCUAGGAAGAUGACACCAUGAUGAACAAUAGAAGAUGCUGUCAAAGAAAGAAGACAAAUUUGACCCAGCAGAGAGCACAUUUCAUAUGUGGGAUUAAUGUGCAGUAAUUAGCCUGUUUUGGUCUAGGAUGACUGAUAGUGAUUCCAUGGCCCAUUUUCCUGAUAUUAGGCAAAGGUUCUUGGGGCAAAAAUGUGAUUAGAAUAUGUUCAACUUGAUGACAUGUAUGUUAAAGCUAUCGGCACAUACCAACCAAUUUUAUUGCAUGACCUAUUGCUAGAAAACAUCAAAAGUGGAGGUCAAAUCAUUUGAAGAAUAGUUGUUUAGUGAGUUAGAAUGAAUGAAGUCUUUAGUGAAUGCUGGCAUCAAAUUCUGUCCUAGUUUGUUGCUUGUCAUGCCCUAUUCUCCAUCUGGGAUGCCCCAGGCACUCUUUUUGGGGACACUUGACCUACCAGUCAUAUUUCAGAAACUACUGAUUUGGUGCUUGCUGAUUGAGUUUAGACUCCAAGGAGUCCGAUUGCUGGAUUACAUACAGACUAAUGACCCAUCAGUCGCUAAAGGCAAAAGCUUAAAGUGCACUAGUGAAUUAAGCCAUAGCAUUGUCGGAAAGGAAGAAUUUAUUAUGUCAUUAAACUUGAUUCAGUAAGUUUUGCUUCUUUAGAUACACUUCACUGAGGGAAAUGUAAGAAAUUAAUUAGAAACGAGUGUUAUCGUUUUUCUUCCACUUUCCCAGGUAAAGGAUAUUCACGUGAAAUUAAGAGACAGAGUAUUUCAUUGGGAUGAAAAGAGAGCCAUUAAAAGGAAUAAUAAAUUGUGAAAACUGGGCAUGACUGCCCAGCCAGCCAUGUACUUGUAAGUUCAGAGACUGUGCGUCAGCUGGUAAACACAGAGGAAAACCAGGCUUGCCUAAUUUGAUGACACCCUGGGUGAAGUUUUCAGGACUUUGCAUACAAUCUCAGAGACUCAUUGAUAUAAAGAUGUCAGCAGUAAUCAUGGUUGAUGCUUAGAAUUAAAUGUGAAACUUAGAAUGGGCACAAAAUGGAGAUCACAAUGGAGGUUUUCUGCUUCAAAUUUAGGAAUUAUAAUGAUACACAGAAUAUUCUCUUAAUGUGAAGAUUACCAUAAGACAUAAAAAUGUAAGCCAUUUGUUGUUGAAUCUUUCUACACAUACCUCAUGGUUGCUUUAUAGCAAUAGAUAAAAUGUUUAUAAAUGGUAACGAGGAUAAUUGAGAAAAUUGUGGAGUGUUUGUACCUUUUGUAAUUUAUCAGAGUACUCUGACAAUCCUCUCAGGCAUUCUAAAAUGAAUCUCUGUUAUAGAGGUAAAUGGUAAAAAAAAAAAAAAAAGAAUACAUCAUAUCUAUAGUGUCAGUUCUAAUAAUGGAGGGACUUUUAGUAUUUAUAUUCUAGGGAACAAAAUAUACUUUCUGUUAGUAAUUAUGCAGUGGGAUUAAAGAACAGAUACUGGUCAUUGUUUUAACUGAAUACAUUCCAUAGCAUAUGACUUAUGUCAAAUAAAAGAAAAUGAACUACAAGGGAGGUCUGUGUCCAAGGGACUAUUUUAGUUUCAUUAGAAUUCUGUCCUAUCACAGGAUAUGCAAUAUUCUAUGCUCCAGAUGAACAUAGAAACAAUAAGCAAAGCAGAUUUUUUUUCUUUCAUUCACUCCUAAAAGGUGAUGGCUUUUUACAAUUUUACAAAGUAAGGAUUUUAAAGUCCAUCUGAUUUGGAAUUUUCUCUUUUUUUCCUUCUUUCCUGCCUCCCUCUCACCCCAUUUUCCUUUCUCCCUCCCACUCUCUUUCGUCCCCCCUCUUGCUUGCUCUCUCAUGAUGGAGUCACAAAGGUUAUUUUUAUUUUAUUAGUAAAAUUAUUUUAAUCUUGAACCAUUACUAAGAAUAACAGACCAAAACAUCUCCCCUUCUAGUUAUUCAAUAUUCUUAGUAAUGCAAAGAAUAUAUAUAAUAUUAGCUUUUCCUUAGGAUGUUCCCAAAUUUAAGGUAAGACAUACUUUGGGAGGAAAGAAAAGCUGAGGCGGAAAAUUUGUCUGCUCUUGGUAGAGCUCCAAUCUCCCCCAGAGAUACUCCUUCACCCUCUCCCCAACCCCCCGCCCUGUGCCAUAAUUCCAGGAUGAACAUCUGGCUUGAUUUCUGUGUCAACUACUUCUUUGCCAAGAAUAGAAGGUUAUAAAAAGAGGUUACAGACCAAAGUUACCAUGGCUGCCCACAGAGAUUUCCUAAAGAACCACUAGGGCCUACUAGGGAGUGUCAAAAAGGAAAACAGUUU
RNAcentral lists this long non-coding RNA (2630 nucleotides) under Homo sapiens (human). RNAcentral's name for it is "HSALNT0040919". The record is from RNAcentral. Lineage: Eukaryota; Metazoa; Chordata; Mammalia; Primates; Hominidae.